Molecule: small RNA, 357 nt
Filed under: Oryza sativa Japonica Group (Japanese rice)
Lineage: Eukaryota; Viridiplantae; Streptophyta; Magnoliopsida; Poales; Poaceae
Description: misc RNA OsLTP1.2
Source: RNAcentral
GAUAAACUAGGGCGGCCGGCCUGAUGCGUACGUGUGUGCCCGCGCCUCCCGUACGAGAGGAGAAUAAAAUGUCAUUAGUACCAUCAAAUUAAGCUAGCUAGUUAAGCUUUACGAAAAUCGAUCCCUUUCUUCCUCUGUGGUGUUUAGCAGUUUAGGGAUCGUAUGUCUCCACAGUUCCUACUAUAGUGUCGCUUGGGCGAUGGUGGAGCUAUAUUGUGCACUUUAUAAGGUGGUGUUAUUAUGUAACGCCUGUGCUAGCUUUGGUCCUGAUGUUCUCCAUGUGAACUGUGUCAACCGUCCAUUGUUCUGCAAAUCUGCAGUAUGUACUGUGUGUGAUAGUAUCAAGCUGAACUUCUG